RNAcentral lists this ribosomal RNA (640 nucleotides) under uncultured bacterium. RNAcentral's name for it is "bacterial SSU rRNA". It matches the Rfam family "Bacterial small subunit ribosomal RNA", at positions 18 to 651 of the family's 1533-position model. The record is from RNAcentral.
CCUGACUCAGAUUGAAUGCUGGCGGCAGGACUAACAGUCGAGGUCGAGCGGCAGCACGGGUACUUGUACCUGGUGGCGAGCGGCGGACGGGUGAGUAAUGCCUAGGAAUCUGCCUGGUAGUGGGGGAUAACGCUCGGAAGGAGACGCUAAUACCGCAUACGUUAGACGGGAGAAAGCAGGGGACCUUCGGGCCUUGCGCUAUCAGAUGAGCCUAGGUCGGAUUAGCUAGUUGGUGAGGUAAUGGCUCACCNAGGCGACGAUCCGUAACUGGUCUGAGAGGAUGUUCAGUCACACUGGAACUGAGCCACGGUCCAGACUCCUACGGGAGGCAGCAGUGGGGAAUAUUGGACAAUCGGCGAAAGCCUGAUCCAGCCCUGCCGCGUGUGUGAAGAAGGUCUUCGGAUGGUAAAGCACUUUAAGUUGGGAGGAAGGGCAGUUACCUAAUACGUAUCUGUUUUGACGUUACCGACAGAAUAAGCACCGGCUAACUCUCUGCCAGCAGCCGCGGUAAUACAGAGGGUGCAAGCCGUUAAUCGGAUNACUGGGCGUAAAGCGCGCGUAGGUGGUUUGUUAAGUUGGAUGUGAAAUCCCCGGGCUCAACCUGGGAAACUGCAUUCAAAACUGACUAGCUAGAGUAUUG